Long non-coding RNA from Alexandromys fortis (reed vole), 2083 nucleotides. RefSeq lists it as uncharacterized. The transcript has 4 exons. Lineage: Eukaryota; Metazoa; Chordata; Mammalia; Rodentia; Cricetidae. The record is from RefSeq and is a predicted model, not a curated record.
CUGGAACUAAGGCGACCCAGGGUGCAGCGGGCGCGGCUCCGGGCAUGCGCGGCGACUUCCCGCCGAGCGCCCCGCGGCCGUGCUCGGUCACCUCCCGCCGCUGCCGGCUUCACCGAGCACCGGGGCUAACCGCAGAGGUGCCGGGGCUCCAGAUGUGCAAACCCAAGCCCGCAUUCAGUGAGUGGACUUCAGACACCUGGGGACUGUUGGUUGAGUAGGGAUGAGUUUUGAAAAACCUCAAUUAAUUUUAAGGACGGAAACAAACACAGUACCCAGAAUUUCGCGGCUUUUCCCAUAAAGAGUGCUGCUGUUCAUCGUGAACUGUUUUAAUUGGAGUCAGUGCUGUGUGUUGGUGAGAACUAAGGGAUGUGACGGGAGAGAAGCACAGAAGAUCAGCAAGACGAGACCGGGCUGUGACAUCUGUGACUCUGUUGCUCCUGUUACUGCUUGCACUGUGCCUUUGGUCCGAUGUCAAAGUUUGGCUGUUGUUUUUGUUUCUGGAGGCGGGGUUUCUCUGUGUAGCCUUGGCUGUCCUGGGAACUCACUCUGUAGGCCAGGCUGGCCUCGAACUCACAGAGAUCCAACACCCUCUGCCUCCCAAGUGCUGGAAUUUAAAGGUGUGCGCCACCACACUUUUAGAACCCUUACCGUGUCUCUGUUAUAUCAGCUUUACAUUGCUGUGACAGAAUGCGCAAGACAGUCAACUUGUUGAUUUUUUUUUUAAUUCUCUCUCUCUCUCUCUCUCUCUCUCUCUCUCUCUCUCUCUCUCUUUCCCAAGACAGGGUUUCUCUGUAGCUUUGGAGACUGUCCUGGAACUAGCUCUUGUAGACCAGGCUGGUCUCGAACUCACAGAGAUCCAGCAGCCUCUGCCUCCCGAGUGCUGGGAUUAAAGGCAUGCGCCACCACCACCCGGCAGGACAGUCAACUUGUAAUGAGGAGAGAUUUACUUUGACCCAUGAUCUCAGGGACUCCAGCCUAUGGUCAGUUGGCUCCGUUGCAUUAUGGCCCGCACUGAGACAUGACAUCAUGUUGGGAAAGCACAUGGUGGGGAGCAGAUGAGGGAACAAACCUCUCCUCCUCAUGGUGGCUGGAAAACAAAAAAAGAACCAGAAAAGUAAGGUUUUGAUAUCCCCUCAAAGGGCAUGACUUGAAUAACCUCCCAUUAAGUCACUCCUAAGAGUUCUGCCACUUCCUAGUAGUGCCCCAGGCUGGUGACCAAGUCUUUCUCAAACAGAUCUUUGAAGAACACUUCCCGUCCAAACCAUAACUCUGUUAAGAACCAUUCUGCUUAGAGCAGCUGGCAUAGCAGGCAAAGGGUAGGCGGGGGAAAGAGAAGGCUCCUCCAGCUCAAAGAGUAUUACAUCAAAUCAUGGGGAUGGGCAGAGAUCCUCCAAGGCAGAUGGUUCUAGGUAGCCUGUACCAGAAACACCUGCCCGAGUUCAGGCAAACAAUCACUCCUGGGCAGUAGGAUCGGUUCCACUCAUUGAUCACAGAUGUUCAUGGAGCGCUCUCCCCUGGGCCUAGCAGGCAAGGCAGAAGCAAUUGAGAUCUCAGCCUGCCAAUGAUCUGGGUAGAUCUUAGGGCGAUACCAGGCAUCAAGAGCCAUUUAGUGGCCAGAGGAUGCUUGGAGAGCCAGAGCAGGAGUCUACCGAUGAGCAGCCAAGCCAUACUGUAGGAGCCAGCCAUGAUAAGUUAAAUAUGAACAGAUCACCCAAAGGAAGUUCUUUACUCCCAAUCAUUAUCACUUGCCAGAGCAGGACUCAGCCAUCGAUAAAUUUAAUACAUGCCUGAAUCUCAGUUGUUUACCCUGAAGCAAUACCUGGUUGCAGUAAGGACCAUGAACUAAGAUUACCUGAGCACCACCCAAAAACAGACCCAUUCAAAGGAAACGUCUAACGUUCUAACUGCUGUAGUUAGGAUCACCUGCCAGCACACACUCACCAGGACACCCCUAGACAAAUGUCAGCCAAUCAGGGGUCCUGAACCUCAGAAACCCCUCACCCCCACCUUUGCUACUAUCAAACCCUAUUGAGCUCAGGGCUCUCCAUUUAUUCCAAUACGUUGAACAUGUGGAGAGACUGAG